AGCUCUGUAAGCGUAUACCCAAGUUGUUGCAGUUAAAAAGCUCGUAGUCGGAUGUUGGUGGGUGAGGCGGGGCGUCUUCGCGGACGACCCCGUAUCAGCCGCCUUUGUGGAGGGGGGCAUGUGGCCGCUUGAGUGCGGACAUUGUGUCGCUGCCACCGUUUACUGUGAAAAAAUUAGAGUGUUCAAAGCGGGCGUUUGCCAUGAAUACCUUAGCAUGGAAUAAUAGAAUAGGACUUGUGUUCUGUUUUGUUGGUUUGUGAGGACCAAGUAAUGAUUAAGAGGGACGGUUGGGGGCAUUUGUAUUCCGGCGUCAGAGGUGAAAUUCUUGGAUUGUCGGAAGACAAACGGCUGCGAAAGCGUCUGCCAAGGACGUUUUCA
This 378-nucleotide ribosomal RNA is filed under the name uncultured eukaryote. Its description in RNAcentral is "SSU rRNA". It matches the Rfam family "Eukaryotic small subunit ribosomal RNA", at positions 587 to 972 of the family's 1831-position model. The record is from RNAcentral.